CCCGCCACCGAGCCUACAGCGGCAUCACGAUCAACGGCGGCGUCCAGUACAACCUCUUCCGCGACCACGUGCUGGCGCUGACCACGGACUACCAGUUCCAGAAGGAGGAGAUCGAGAGGUUAGAAUUAUCGCAAUACGAGGCGUGGCAGCUGAACACACUGAAAGCAUCCGAACCUAUUUCAUUUGACUUCUGCAAGCACGAUUUCUUGUAUUCUCAUGAUCCAGUGAUAAUG
Penaeus vannamei (Pacific white shrimp) is the source of this 233-nucleotide non-coding RNA. The record is from RefSeq and is a predicted model, not a curated record. Lineage: Eukaryota; Metazoa; Arthropoda; Malacostraca; Decapoda; Penaeidae.